AGUUUACAUUAAUAUAAACGAGAAAUUACACCAGGGAACUGCAAACAUAUACAUUUGAAACAAAAGAGGAAUGUUGAAAUAUCUCUCAUUUCUUUCUUCCCGCACAGCCUGAAAAAUGCAGGCAGAAUAUGCUCCAUGUAAACAUCUAACAUACGAUGAUUUAAUCAUUCAGGGAGCUGAUGCCAAUGUCUUGAGGUUAUUAAUCACUCGGCAAUAACUAAAUAUUCACAGAAAUGUAAUUCAACAGAGUGCAAUAGAGUUCACACUUGAGCGAGUCAGCUUU
RNAcentral lists this unclassified non-coding RNA (283 nucleotides) under Hevea brasiliensis (rubber tree). The record is from RNAcentral. Lineage: Eukaryota; Viridiplantae; Streptophyta; Magnoliopsida; Malpighiales; Euphorbiaceae.